This 1235-nucleotide long non-coding RNA is filed under the name Nicotiana tabacum (common tobacco). Its description in RNAcentral is "long non-coding RNA (NTAB_LNC002510)". Lineage: Eukaryota; Viridiplantae; Streptophyta; Magnoliopsida; Solanales; Solanaceae. The record is from RNAcentral.
UUUCCAAAUAGACCCCCGGCAUCCUUCCCUCCAAGAACUUCCCACCUUGCUCUUGGGGAGACUCGAACUCACAACCUCUUGGUUGGAAGUGGAGGUUUCAAGUUAGACCAAUAAUGCCAUGGAGAGUUGCAACAUUAUAAUCUCUUAUCGUUCAUUGAGAAAAGAUCUCUUCCCGUGUGGGUAACACCCAAAUUAAAACAAAGAAUUACAUACCAUGUCAAAGUAACUACCUUUACCGAUUGAGAUCAAACUAUACACACCCUAAACUCUGCUUUAUUUUCAUCCCAAAAUUAGAUGUAACAGCAAUAUUUAUGNNNNNNNNNNNNNNNNNCUCCACCACCCCCCUCGCUUUCCCAAUAUAUAUCCACACAGCCGACAAACAAUUAAUAAGCACCUAAACUUCAUAAACACAAACAAAAAAGGACAAAUUCAGUAAAAAUAAAGCUUCCAAACACACUCAAAUAUGUUCAAAUUUAACUCAUUAUACACGACAUAAAGAAAACUUAGCUACAUCGAACAAUUGAGGUAAAAAACGCAAAGAUCAAUUGACUAGGACCGUAGUUUAACAAAUUCUGGAGCUAAACUUUAUAAACACAAAUAAAAAGGCAAAUUAAGUAAAAUUAAAGAUUCUAAACACACUCAAAUGUUCAACUAUAACUCAUUAUACAUAUCCUACAGGAAAUUAAGCUAUUACGUAGAACAAACACGGUAAUUGAGGUAAAAAAAACCAAAUAUCAAUUGACUAGGACCAUAAUUUGAACAAACUCUGGAGCUACGAUAAAUGAAAGUUCAAAACUGAGCUAAACAGAAACAUAUACGAAUAAAAUACAGAGGAAAUAUACGAAUACGUAAAAUACGUCUGUAGAAGAGAAAUUGAGAAAGAGAGAUAUUACCGAGAUUUUAGCUGUUCUCCUGAGAUGUUUGUGCGGUGGCGAUGGCUUCAGAUCGCCGACGUGGGAUGUGGCGGAGAAAGGAGGAGGAUUGGCGGGUAGUGGGCGGGGGGAAUGUGGAAAGACAGGUGGGUUGUAGUGGCUGCCGAGCAAAUAUUUUGCUAAUUAUUUUCCCAUAGCUGUCGUGUGAACAAAAAGAGGCUUAUUUUGGAAUUUGGAGUAAAAAAGAGUUUGCUUUGCCUCAAAAAUACAAUAUUUAUAUAGUAACUCUUUCUUUUAUUUGAAUCUUGUAUUAUUUCUAUCAAACUAAUUUUCAAAUAUUAAGAUAGAUUAAUGUGAACUUUU